Molecule: ribosomal RNA, 413 nt
Filed under: Aureobasidium sp.
Lineage: Eukaryota; Fungi; Ascomycota; Dothideomycetes; Dothideales; Saccotheciaceae
Description: partial large subunit ribosomal RNA
Rfam family: Eukaryotic large subunit ribosomal RNA
Source: RNAcentral
GCAUUGUAAUUUGUAGAAGGAUGCUUAGGGUGAAACGCCAGUCUAAGUUCCUUGGAACAGGACGUCAUAGAGGGUGAGAAUCCCGUAUGUGACUGGAAAUGUUAACCUAUGUAAAGCUCCUUCGACGAGUCGAGUUGUUUGGGAAUGCAGCUCUAAAUGGGAGGUAAAUUUCUUCUAAAGCUAAAUAUUGGCGAGAGACCGAUAGCGCACAAGUAGAGUGAUCGAAAGAUGAAAAGCACUUUGGAAAGAGAGUUAAAAAGCACGUGAAAUUGUUGAAAGGGAAGCGCUUGCAAUCAGACUUGUUUAAACUGUUCGGCCGGUCUUCUGACCGGUUUACUCAGUUUGGACAGGCCAGCAUCAGUUUCGGCGGCCGGAUAAAGGCUCUGGGAAUGUGGCCUUCACUUCGGUGAAGG